This 175-nucleotide small RNA is filed under the name Marmota monax (woodchuck). Its description in RNAcentral is "U2 spliceosomal RNA". Lineage: Eukaryota; Metazoa; Chordata; Mammalia; Rodentia; Sciuridae. The record is from Rfam by way of RNAcentral.
AUCGCUUCUCGGCCUUUUGGCUAAGAUCAAGUGCAGUUUCCAUAGGAUUAUUCCAGCUUUACUCCAACUUUGAAUAAACAUGUGAAUACCUACUGAAAUAUUAUGUGUUAUCUCAAUCAAAAACAGUACAAUUUUUCUUAUUAAUUCCCAAUUCCAUAGGAGAAUAUCUUGUUUC